RNAcentral lists this ribosomal RNA (1390 nucleotides) under marine metagenome. RNAcentral's name for it is "bacterial LSU rRNA". It matches the Rfam family "Archaeal large subunit ribosomal RNA", at positions 1590 to 2987 of the family's 2987-position model. The record is from RNAcentral.
AGCAGACUUGUCUGUCUGUCUAAGUGUUUAAGACUCCGGAGUUGUGUCAUGCAGAGAAGGAGUUGAAUACAUUAUGGGUCGCAAGAUUCUGUUGAGUCCUAGAACCCUUGAAAAGUUCUUUAGUUUCCGUUUAAGUAUCCGUACCCAUAACCGGCACUGGUGCCCUGGCUGAGCAAGCCAAGACGUGUGAGAAUAAUCAUCCUAAGGGAAUUCGGCAAAAUGGUCCUGUAACUUCGGUUGAAGGGAUCCCAGCACUUGCAUUUUUUAAUGUGAACGCUGGGCUAAGAGACUAGAUCGGUCCGACUGUUUAACAAAAACGUAGCUGGCUGCAAGAUAGGAAUGUUUAGUAUAGCCAGUGACUUCUGCCCAGUGCUAGUAUCUGAAAGUGGUUUUCAAUCUGCCUAAGGACUAGUAAACGGCGGGGGUAACUAUGACCCUCUUAAGGUAGCGAAAUACCUUGGCCAUUAAAUGUGGUCGUGCAUGAAUGGAGCAACGAGGCUGAUACUGUCCCUAGGAUGAACCUCAUGAACUUACUAUUCUGGGGAACGGGCCAGAGACUUCUAGUGGGACGAUGAGACCCCGUAGAGCUUUACUAUAGCGUGUAGCUGCUAAUUUGUAGUGUUUGCAUAGAGUAUAUGGGAGGCAUCGAAGCAUUCUUUUCGGGGAAUGUGGAGCCAAAAGUGUAACACCAUACCUUCGCUUUGAAUUAGCUUACCUUAAUUGGAACACCUAUAUGCGGAUAGUUUGAGUGGGGCGCUACCCUCCCGAAAGAAUAUCGGGAGGACCUUAAGAUCAGCUCAGUCCGGUUGGAAACCGGAUGUUGAGGGCAAGACCAAAAGCUGGUUUAAUUGGAAUCUGCAAAGCAAAGAUUCCAGGUACGAAAGUAGAGUCUAGAGAACCUCCAUGUCUCUCUUACUGAGAGCUGGAAUUGAUAGAAAAGCUACCUCGGGGAUAAUUGAGUGGUGCCGUGUUAGAGUACAUAUCGACCACGGCGCUUGCGACUUCGUUGUCGGCUCUGCUUAUCCUGGCUGUGCAACAGCAGCCAAGGGUGCGGGAGUUCACCGAUUAAAAAGCAUCGUGAGCUGGGUUCAGAACGCUGUGAAGCAGUUUGUUUUAUAUCUACUAGAAGUGUUGAGAGUCUGAGGAGAACCUGUUCUUAGUACGAAAGGAACGGAAUGUGCGAGCCACUGGUGUAUCAGUUGUCUGACAAGGCAGGCUGAGCAGCUACGCUCGAAGUGGAUAACUUCUGAAUGCAUCUAAGAAGGAAGCCACCUGUGAAAAGAGACUCUCUGGACACUUGUAAAAGACAAGUUUGAUAGAAUUGGGAUGUAAGUACCAAGGUAACGAGGUAUUCAGUCUGCAAUUACUAAUAGUCCGUAUACUUACUAUU